This is a long non-coding RNA of Thalassophryne amazonica, 447 nucleotides long. RefSeq lists it as uncharacterized. The record is from RefSeq and is a predicted model, not a curated record. Lineage: Eukaryota; Metazoa; Chordata; Actinopteri; Batrachoidiformes; Batrachoididae. The transcript has 4 exons.
CAAAUAUGUUGAUGGCUGGCAUUUAAGAUAUUCCAAUUGGGAUUAUGGUGAACCACGAAGAGACGGGGCUUGUGUGUAUGUGGACAAAGAUGGAAAGUGGAAAACAGCUUCCUGCAAUCGCACCAUGAACAGUGUUUGUAUGCAGUCUACAGCUGUGCCACCAACAGAGUCCAGUGAGUUCCCAGGACAGUGCCCUGAAGAUCCAGAAUUAUCAAUGGCCAGAGAAACACCUGGUUACCAUUUAAGGGCUAUUGUUAUAUCUUUUUCCCCAAUGGAGAUAGGUGGUCGGAUGCAGCUACCAAUUGUGUAAGACACAGUGGUGCACUAACCAGCAUUGAAAACCCUGAUGAGCAACAAUUCAUCCAAACACAACUAAAAAGAUUUGAAGACAGUCAUAAUUCUUUUGGAUCGGCCUUUUUCAAAAUCAGAGAGGUGAGUGGAAGUGGC